AUCUUUGGGUUAAAAUAAAAAACCCUAUUUUUCUAAUUAAUAUCCUGUGAYUCCUCCCGUUUUUAACUCGGUUCAUCACAUUCACAUAAAGUAACUUUUUUUCCCUGGGGAUACUUUGUCUGAUCCAGCCCCACCAGUGACUCCCAACUCUUUAAAAAAAUAAAAAAAAAAUAAAAAAAAUCAUUUUUAUGGCACUAGUAGCCUUCAUUCAACAGCAGCUUGAGAGGCAGAAGGCCAGUAAGAGAAAAGACACGGAGAAUGUAUUUAUUUAGAUCUGUUUUUUCUUGUCAUUCUAUUGAAAAGUAGUGGAUUUCCUCCCACCCCCCAUGGCCAUAUUCUGUGCAUGCAUCUUCAAAUUCUUCCCAUAGAAUAAAAUAUUUUUGUCCUCUUUUUGCAAAGGUUUUACCUUUUUCUUUAUUUUAGAACCUAAAAAUAGAACUAAAACAGUGGUACUUUAAAGAGAACAUUAACUGGAGCCCUGCCCCUAAUCAUUCUUCAAAAUUAUUSAACAAGUAAUUCAUUAUUGACCUGAAUAUUGUCCUUUUAACCAAGGUGCGUAAUUUAAGCCAUCUCUAUUUCCCUUUGCGUUUUUAUUUAAAAUUUAUUUGUAAAAAUUUCAACUGAGUUUUCUGUAGGUGGUUUAAAGUUGAUUUGAACCAUUAUAAAUCAAAUUUCAGACCUGUAUCAUGACAGAAAAGUACAAAAGAAAAUGCUACRUUUUAUAAAAUAGCAAUGCACAGAAUGAAAGUAGCAUCGUAUGGGUUGGCAGCAGAAAUGAACAAAUAGCAACGUUGUCCAGACAACUGGACAGCUAGCUAGCAAGGGAGCUAGUUAGCGCCUCAAAUCACAAUGCAAUGAAGAUGYACGCGACCCAAACCUUCACCUGACAGAAAUGCCCCGCGAGAAAAAUGAACAUAGAAUAUUCGACACAAAAUAGUCUCGUCACCAUAAAAGAUGAGACAUGUGAGGCUGUGAUUAACGCAUUUAAGGCUAACUUACUUUUUUUUCUUUCCCCUAUUGAAUUUAAAACCUUUUAAUUUAAAACCUUCCCAAGUAACCCUCUUAUAAAGCAAAUAAGGAGCAAAAAUGUUCCAUUAUUAACCAAAUUGAUUUAUUAUGCAUGAACAAAUCGCUUUCUGCUUCUUUCACACGAACACAAACACACACACACACACACACACACUUGCACGCGCGCCUGACAUUUAAAUACAUGUGGUGAAAACCUCGGGCAUAGCUGACUUUGAUGUUGCACAUGCUUUUAAUAAACGAUACGAUAUAUUUACAGGAUAAGCAAUGUCUACGAACAAAACUCGCAAGAACAGCUCCCGGUCCAAUCCUGCAGCAUUUUUGCAACACCUUUAGAAUCACUUGAUUUAUUUUUGGAGAAAAAAAAUUCACCCACAUUCAAAAUGAACUAUAGAAAAAAAAAAAGUAAAUGGGGGGUUUUUGGCCAAUACGACAUAGCAUUAUAUGWAUAUGGAGUUCAUCCACUACAUAAAUAUGGCAGUAACACUGAGUAAUUUAUUGGGUCUAUGUACAAAGUUUGUGAAGUGGGGAAAUAUUACAGUCUCUGCACGGACGACUGACGCAACAAAUGCCUUUAAUGUCUGAGGGGGGGUUGGACUGAGUCUAGGGGGGAAAAAAAACGGACACCUCCAUCCUUCCGCUUACCUUCUGUUAGACCCGUCGGCGCUGACGCAACAAACAAAAUAAGGCACGAUUAAUACUUGGACCAUUUUCAGGGGAAAUCUACAGACUUGCAGCUGGCUUGUGAGGCAUGUAAACAAUUUGUCAAUUGAUUAGGACUGCCUUAUCACCUUCCCUUUAGCCCCCCCCCAAAUCAGUGAUUUAGUCCAUCUGAUGAGAUUUAAAACAAGCUUCGUGUAGCGAAGACCUUUGACCCCCRCCCCUGCAAUGAAAUAUGAAAAGAAAAACAAAACAAUAAUGCUGCUGGAACACUGUCCCCUCUAUAUGCUACUUAACAAAUACAAUCACAUGGUGACAAACGAAGAAAACUAGUAGUGCAUACACUACAAACACAACAGAUAAACGCAAAGCCUGCCAGACUGCCCUUGGUUAGGCCACGGAUCUGCCCUCUCAUCCAGGCAGGGAGAUGGUCUGAACAGAAAUUGAGUUGUGUGAUUGAUUGAUGAGCUUCUCCCAAAGCUGAAGCGGAUUCGUUUGCUAUGUGGCUGAACCAAAGAUUAAAAGAGAGMGAGAGAGAGAAGUGCUUCCUCCCCCCGCCCCGCUCCACUGAUUAUCCCAGACCAGACAAUUCCCGACUAACCUCCAAACGAGCCGGUUUCGGACUAAAGUCUAACGGCCCCCCAGAGACGUCUCAGCUGUCUAAUAAAAAAAAAA
Molecule: non-coding RNA, 2361 nt
Organism: Poecilia reticulata (guppy)
Lineage: Eukaryota; Metazoa; Chordata; Actinopteri; Cyprinodontiformes; Poeciliidae
Source: RefSeq, a predicted model, not a curated record